Molecule: ribosomal RNA, 290 nt
Filed under: uncultured Flavobacterium sp.
Lineage: Bacteria; Pseudomonadati; Bacteroidota; Flavobacteriia; Flavobacteriales; Flavobacteriaceae
Description: partial 16S ribosomal RNA
Rfam family: Bacterial small subunit ribosomal RNA
Source: RNAcentral
UCGAGAGUUUGAUCCUGGCUCAGGAUGAACGCUAGCGGCAGGCUUAACACAUGCAAGUCGAGGGGUAUAGUUCUUCGGAGCUAGAGACCGGCGCACGGGUGCGUAACGCGUAUACAAUCUACCUUAUACAGGGGAAUAGCCCAGAGAAAUUUGGAUUAAUACCUCAUAGUAUGUGAGAAUCGCAUGGUUUUUCACAUUAAAGUUCCAACGGUAAAACGAUGAGCAUGCGUCCCAUUAGCUAGAUGGUAAGGUAACGGCUUACCAUGGCAACGAUGGGUAGGGGUCCUGAG